CAGCAGCCGCGGUAAUACAGAGGAUGCAAGCGUUAAUCGGAUUUACUGGGCGUAAAGGGCGCGUAGGUGGUUAUGUAAGUGAGAUGUGAAAUCCCCGGGCUUAACCUGGGAACUGCAUUUGUGACUGGCGAGCUAGAGUAUGGCAGAGGGGGGUAGAAUUCCACGUGUAGCAGUGAAAUGCGUAGAGAUGUGGAGGAAUACCGAUGGCGAAGGCAGCCCCCUGGGCCAAUACUGACGCUCAUGCACGAAAGCGUGGGGAGCAAACAGGAUUAGAUACCCGGGUAGUCCCUGUCUCUUAUAC
This 301-nucleotide ribosomal RNA is filed under the name uncultured bacterium. RNAcentral's name for it is "partial 16S ribosomal RNA". It matches the Rfam family "Bacterial small subunit ribosomal RNA", at positions 509 to 807 of the family's 1533-position model. The record is from RNAcentral.